GCAGAGCGCAGAUGUGAUAGUGCAGCCACAUGUGAAUCCUGGUUGAGCUGACUCAAUGCCAUGCCAGGGUGUCUACUUGACAUGAGAUCCAACCAUCUGUUGAAAAAAUCCAAGAACCAAGCUGUGUGAUCUAGCUGAUGGCAGAGGUUGAUUUUGGGCCAGAAGCAAGUUGUAUCCAGUAGGACCACAUGCCAACAUUAAUUGAAGACCUUUUUUGAUUGAGUCAGCUGACCAUUUUGUCCCCCGUGUACUUGCUUGGCUAAGUUUGUAAAGCUGAUUUGUGUUGAAGACUCCUGAAACAUUUGCUUCGAGUCGUUUUCUCUGCCUGAUGAUCUUCCACUUCUCUUUCCUUUCUUUCACAAGAGCCCGCUGGAGUGAUAACACUUUGUUUUUCAAGCCGUUCAGUUGUUCUUCCACGCUUGCAGUUUCCCCGCUGACAUUCUCCCUGCCCGCUGUCUCUUCGCUGACCGUCUCGCCGCUGAUCGUCUUGGUGAUGACCAUCUCCUCGCUCACAGUCCCACCAGUGUAGGCGUUGUUCGUCCGAUCAAACUCUUCAUGGCCAACUUCGAUUUCUGGAACAGAAUAAGAAGAAAGGAGUAGAAGCAUUAACAUUUGUUAAACAUGGGAACAGACGAAGUGCGUUGGGAGAGCAUUCGGCUUGAGCCUCCUCAGGCCGUCCACUCUGCCAUUCUCAUACUGGGUUUCAUCGAAGUGGUCCUACAAGCAAGACGACAGGAACUUUUUAAUGGGUGGUGUCAAGAAAAU
Molecule: long non-coding RNA, 765 nt
Organism: Alosa sapidissima (American shad)
Lineage: Eukaryota; Metazoa; Chordata; Actinopteri; Clupeiformes; Clupeidae
Exons: 3
Source: RefSeq, a predicted model, not a curated record